GAACCUUACCAGGGAUUGACAUGCCGCGAAUCCUCUUGAAAGAGAGGGGUGCAUUCGGGAACGCGGACACAGGUGGUGCAUGGCUGUCGUCAGCUCAUGGCGUAAGGUGUUGGGUUAAGUCCCGCAACGAGCGCAACCCUCGUGUUUAGUUGCCACCGUUGAGUUUGGAACCCUGAGCAGAUAUUUCCAUUAAUCGUGGAGAUAAAAAAUCAUAGGGUCUAAGACUUCAAAUCUAAAUCCAUCUCUAAUUACUGC
RNAcentral lists this non-coding RNA (255 nucleotides) under Vitis vinifera (wine grape). Its description in RNAcentral is "Bacterial small subunit ribosomal RNA". It matches the Rfam family "Bacterial small subunit ribosomal RNA", at positions 966 to 1169 of the family's 1533-position model. Lineage: Eukaryota; Viridiplantae; Streptophyta; Magnoliopsida; Vitales; Vitaceae. The record is from Rfam by way of RNAcentral.